Molecule: microRNA, 21 nt
Filed under: Echinococcus granulosus
Lineage: Eukaryota; Metazoa; Platyhelminthes; Cestoda; Cyclophyllidea; Taeniidae
Description: egr-miR-36b-5p
Gene: egr-miR-36b-5p
Source: miRBase by way of RNAcentral
GAGUAAUUUCUAUCCGGUUGG